GAUGAACGCUAGCUACAGGCUUAACACAUGCAAAUCGAGGGGAAACGAUAGGGAAAGCUUGCUUUUUCUAGGCGUCGACCGGCGCACGGGUGAGUAACGCGUAUCCAACCUGCCCAUCACUUGGGGAUAACCUUGCGAAAGUAAGACUAAUACCCAAUGACGUCUCUAGAAGACAUCUGAAGGAGAUUAAAGAUUUAUCGGUGAUGGAUGGGGAUGCGUCUGAUUAGCUUGUUGGCGGGGUAACGGCCCACCAAGGCGACGAUCAGUAGGGGUUCUGAGAGGAAGGUCCCCCACAUUGGAACUGAGACACGGUCCAAACUCCUACGGGAGGCAGCAGUGAGGAAUAUUGGUCAAUGGACGAGAGUCUGAGCCAGCCAAGUAGCGUGCAGGAAGACGGCCCUGUGGGUUGUAAACUGCUUUUAUAAGGGAAUAAAGUGAGUCUCGUGAGACUUUUUGCAUGUACCUUAUGAAUAAGGACCGGCUAAUUCCGUGCCAGCAGCCGCAGUAA
This 508-nucleotide ribosomal RNA is filed under the name uncultured bacterium. RNAcentral's name for it is "partial 16S ribosomal RNA". It matches the Rfam family "Bacterial small subunit ribosomal RNA", at positions 28 to 523 of the family's 1533-position model. The record is from RNAcentral.